Long non-coding RNA from Oreochromis aureus, 1105 nucleotides. RefSeq lists it as uncharacterized. NCBI's taxonomy places the organism in Eukaryota, Metazoa, Chordata, Actinopteri, Cichliformes, Cichlidae. The transcript is spliced from 3 exons. The record is from RefSeq and is a predicted model, not a curated record.
UCUUGCAGAAUCAGAUCUGAAAAAACAAAUUAACAACAGCAAAAGAGCCUUUAUUACAAUUUUUUUUUUUUAAAUUCAGAAAAAAUAUACACUAUAUUCAAUCUUUACCUUUUUGUGUCACCUCUGUGUUCAUGUCUCGACAGCCCAACACAUGGUGCUCCACCCAGAACAGAGAAACUGAAGGAUCCAAAGCAGCUGCUUUGAGGUGCACUGGAUCUGAGGGGGCAGUGAUCUUCUGCUCUAGCCAUUCACACACUGAUAGAGAUUCCAAGAAAUCUUUUGUUCACAGACGCUUGGAGACUCCUGACCAGACCAUGCAGGAAACAGACUCUUCUCUACCAACCAACCCCAACCUGUCAGACCUCCACCUCUCCCCUCAACUGUCACUCAGCACCAGAUCUCUGCAGGGCCACAUUCUCAGCUCCCUACUGGACGCCUGUAGCUCUGUAACUGUACAACAACACACCCAACUAAUGUCAUCGUGUACUAUGCCAGUGACACUGCUGUGGAGCCUGAGCACCAAUAAUUCUAUUCUAUUCUCUCUAACUAGAAAACCCAAAGUGAGGAAGCGUCUGUGAGGAGGAAAGCCAAGCUUCCACUGUGGUCGACCUACUUUCACAGGAGCCAACAUCCACAGAGGGGAAAAUGGCAGAAAAUAUGGAAACCCAGCCUCAAACACUCCAUGCAAAGCCAGGGUUCACAGGCACAUAAAGAAAGGAUGACUGUUUGCUGAUCUAUCUUCAACAGUUUAUCUGUGUGUGGGUCGAAGCAGAGGUGUUCCUUCCACACAGCUGCCUCAUUCAGGUGAUACUAAAAAUGUAAUAGCACAUUCAACAUGUUCUCAUUAAUGAACACCAAUACAAGCCAAGUACCGCUGACAGAACAGAAAGUCAUUAGAAAAUCAACCAUCUGAUAUCAGGAGCUAGCUUCUCCAGGUAAAGGUAGGGUCACCUGAUGUUUAGGUUGUAUACAUCGAGCACAUCAUGUUUUUUUAUUACUUUUUUUUGUUAUUGCAUUUGUUUUUAGGAGGGGGCAGGAGCACUGGAGUAGGAUGCUGAGACCUGAUAGGAGAGCUGUGUGUUGUGUGAAGAAAUAGAAGCUACCU